Molecule: unclassified non-coding RNA, 352 nt
Filed under: Arthrographis curvata
Lineage: Eukaryota; Fungi; Ascomycota; Dothideomycetes; Eremomycetales; Eremomycetaceae
Description: sequence contains 18S rRNA gene, ITS1, 5.8S rRNA gene, ITS2
Rfam family: 5.8S ribosomal RNA (bases 166-319)
Source: RNAcentral
GACUUCGGAGAUCAUUACCGAGUGCCGGGCGCAAGCCCGUCUUCGCACACCCUCUGUCGACUCUCCGCAGUUGCUUCGGCGGCGUGCCCUCGCGGGCCCCGCCGGAGGACCAACCCAAACGCAUGGCAAACCGGUCUGUCCGAGGCUAUACGCGAAAUCAGUCAAAACUUUCAACAACGGAUCUCUUGGUUCGGGCAUCGAUGAAGAACGCAGCGAAAUGCGAUACGUAAUGUGAAUUGCAGAAUUCAGUGAAUCAUCGAAUCUUUGAACGCACAUUGCGCCCGUCGGCAUUCCGACGGGCACGCCUGUUCGAGCGUCAUUGCACCCGUCAAGCCUCGCUUGGUGUUGGGGG